This 1436-nucleotide ribosomal RNA is filed under the name uncultured organism. Its description in RNAcentral is "16S ribosomal RNA". It matches the Rfam family "Bacterial small subunit ribosomal RNA". The record is from RNAcentral.
CAGGCUUAACACAUGCAAGUCGAGGGGCAGCAUGGUCUUAGCUCGCUAAGGCCGAUGGCGACCGGCGCACGGGUGAGUAACACGUAUCCAACCUGCCGUCUACUCUUGGACAGCCUUCUGAAAGGAAGAUUAAUACAAGAUGGCAUCAUGAGUCCGCAUGUUCACAUGAUUAAAGGUAUUCCGGUAGACGAUGGGGAUGCGUUCCAUUAGAUAGUAGGCGGGGUAACGGCCCACCUAGUCUUCGAUGGAUAGGGGUUCUGAGAGGAAGGUCCCCCACAUUGGAACUGAGACACGGUCCAAACUCCUACGGGAGGCAGCAGUGAGGAAUAUUGGUCAAUGGGCGAGAGCCUGAACCAGCCAAGUAGCGUGAAGGAUGACUGCCCUAUGGGUUGUAAACUUCUUUUAUAAAGGAAUAAAGUCGGGUAUGGAUACCCGUUUGCAUGUACUUUAUGAAUAAGGAUCGGCUAACUCCGUGCCAGCAGCCGCGGUAAUACGGAGGAUCCGAGCGUUAUCCGGAUUUAUUGGGUUUAAAGGGAGCGUAGAUGGAUGUUUAAGUCAGUUGUGAAAGUUUGCGGCUCAACCGUAAAAUUGCAGUUGAUACUGGAUAUCUUGAGUGCAGUUGAGGCAGGCGGAAUUCGUGGUGUAGCGGUGAAAUGCUUAGAUAUCACGAAGAACUCCGAUUGCGAAGGCAGCCUGCUAAGCUGCAACUGACAUUGAGGCUCGAAAGUGUGGGUAUCAAACAGGAUUAGAUACCCUGGUAGUCCACACGGUAAACGACGAAUACUCGCUGUUUGCGAUAUACUGCAAGCGGCCAAGCGAAAGCGUUAAGUAUUCCACCUGGGGAGUACGCCGGCAACGGUGAAACUCAAAGGAAUUGACGGGGGCCCGCACAAGCGGAGGAACAUGUGGUUUAAUUCGAUGAUACGCGAGGAACCUUACCCGGGCUUAAAUUGCAGAUGAAUUACGGUGAAAGCCGUAAGCCGCAAGGCAUCUGUGAAGGUGCUGCAUGGUUGUCGUCAGCUCGUGCCGUGAGGUGUCGGCUUAAGUGCCAUAACGAGCGCAACCCUUGUUGUCAGUUACUAACAGGUUCCGCUGAGGACUCUGACAAGACUGCCAUCGUAAGAUGUGAGGAAGGUGGGGAUGACGUCAAAUCAGCACGGCCCUUACGUCCGGGGCUACACACGUGUUACAAUGGGGGGUACAGAGGGCCGCUACCACGCGAGUGGAUGCCAAUCCCCAAAACCUCUCUCAGUUCGGACUGGAGUCUGCAACCCGACUCCACGAAGCUGGAUUCGCUAGUAAUCGCGCAUCAGCCACGGCGCGGUGAAUACGUUCCCGGGCCUUGUACACACCGCCCGUCAAGCCAUGGGAGCCGGGGGUACCUGAAGUGCGUAACCGCGAGGAGCGCCCUAGGGUAAAACUGGUGACUGGGGCUA